UUUGGUUUCCUACUCAUGUUUCAGAAUGUUUGCUUGAGCUACAGCCAUCAUGUCCACAUUCAAACCAGUAAGAAAGAGGAAGGGGGAAAGGAUGUCUUCUCUCUUUUUAAGGACAUAUCUCAGAAGUUGUAUGUGACACUCUACUUACAUCUUCUUAGCCAAAACUUCCUCACAAAUCACACUAGCUGCAAAGAAAUCUGGAAAAUAUAGUUUUUAUUUGGGGUGUCAUAUGCCCAGCUAAAAAUCAAGGUUUUAUGAUCAAGGCAGAAGAGAAUGCACUUCUGACAUUACUGAUUUUUAAUGUUACAGCAAACCUUUCCCAACUCUCCAGCCAGAGGUUUGCAAUCUAAAACCUGCAAUGGGCUAGGAAAUUACAAUAAAAUUCUGAAUUUCAAAUUCUGAUCACCCCUCUACAGGUAAGUAUUAUUUCUUUCAUUUCUGUGUUCAAGAAAUUGAGUCUCAGAGAGCUUCAGUGACUUUCCUGAGAUCUCUCGGUAACUAAAUGCCCCAACCAAGAUUUAAACUCAACCCUGCCAAAGCCCAGGCUUCUAAUGCGUCAUUCUACAUCACAGGAAUCCCACAUGUGUUUGCAGGAUGAGCCUUGAAUCAACCAACUACUGUUGCAUACUAUGCAACCACAAAACUCUGAGACCUAGACACUUAUUUUACUACCAUGUCUACAAGUCAACUGGAGACCAGCUGCUCUAGGCUGGGCUGGACUGGACUCCCCCAAGCCACAGCUGGGUCUGAGUCUGCUCCAUGGUUCUCCAUCUUCCUCAGACUUGUGGGCCUACCAGGGUAGAGCCUUCUCAUGCCAAAAGCAGAGAAGCACAUCUCACUGCUGCUUGUCGUGGGUCUGCUUCCAUUCCCUUGACUGAAGGAAGUCACAUGGCCAAGACAAAAGCUAGGCAGUACAGUCCUCCAGGAGGGAGUAAAUAUUUCUGAAUAUGUUCUUAUUUACCCCAAGUCCCUAUGCAGAUGCAUUGGAAUGGGAAGAGCCCCAGACUGAGAAUCAGAAGUCCCUAGUUCUAGUCCCAGACCUGCCAUGAAUGACUUGUGUGGCCUUGGACAAAUACUAGCCCCUUCUGGGCCUCAUGUUUGUUCUAGAGAUCUCUAAGGCAUACGCAGGCUUUAACUUAAGAAGCUAUGGCAUGAAAAAACAAAUAGUUGCCUCUCAAAAUUCUAAUCUCCUCUGAAUGUAGCUUAGUCUUUAUGCAAAAAUAAACACACACACUAGAGUGUCUUCAAAACCACUGGGCUAAUAAUGUUCAUGAUUCUGUUAAUGACCAAACUGGAGCACAGUGCAGCUGGUCCUGCUGGUCACAGGAAGGCCCCAGAAAGAAAUGAAGCCAUCAAGAAGCCAUUGAUGCUGUGACCUUCUGUUGCAGGCUGCUCCUCUACUUAGACAGGGAGAAGAUGGCCAUCUAUGAACCAGGAAGCCCUCACUAGACCCCAAGUCUGCCAGCACCUCGAACUUGGAUUCCUCAGUCUUCACAACAGUGUGAGGACUCCAGGUUUCAUCUUGAAUUCUAGACUCAACUGGAAUAACUGACUGGUUCUGCCCUCAGGCAAAAGUUUAUAAAAUGGAAAAUCCGGUGUCAUUUUUCUCCCAUGUCUAGAGUCCAGUUUCUGCCUUCUCUUGGUCACUCUCCAAUACCUUCAGAGUCAUUCAGGACUCCAGGUUCCUUCCAUCUUCUGGCUCCUUCACCUCCUACAGCACGUCCUCCGCACAGUCAAAGUUCUUGGGAGAAUCAGGACAGGUGUGGAUGCAAAGUGGUUCAUAUCAACUGCUCCUACAUGCUGGACUUGAAAGAAGACCCUAGGGCCAGUCGGCCUAGGGAUAUUCAGCUAAUUGAAGAGAAAAUAUGAUGAAAGGGUUUUCCUUUAAAUUCAAAAUAAAAGCAAAUAAGUUGAAGGUCA
RNAcentral lists this long non-coding RNA (1920 nucleotides) under Homo sapiens (human). Its description in RNAcentral is "HSALNT0144485". Lineage: Eukaryota; Metazoa; Chordata; Mammalia; Primates; Hominidae. The record is from RNAcentral.